RNAcentral lists this ribosomal RNA (453 nucleotides) under uncultured Oomycota. RNAcentral describes it as "LSU rRNA". It matches the Rfam family "Eukaryotic large subunit ribosomal RNA", at positions 326 to 628 of the family's 3401-position model. Lineage: Eukaryota; Oomycota. The record is from RNAcentral.
GUGCGAGACCGAUAGCGAACAAGUACCGUGAGGAAAAGAUGAAAAGAACUUUGAAAAGAGAGUUAAAGAGUACCUGAAACUGCUGAAAGGGAACCGAAUCGUAUCCAGUGUCUAUAAUCCAUGGCAUAUUUCAUUGGCGAGUGAGUGCGUGCAGCGUUUUGGAAGUGGUUUUCCGCUCCUGUCGUUGUUGUGCAUUUGCUUGCUGGUGCCCUGUGCUGUGGUGGGACGUCAGAGUCAGUUUGUGUGUCGCGGGAAAUGGUUAUUGGGGAGGUAGGUCGCUUCGGUGGCUAUUAUAUCCUGGUAACUAGUCGUCGUGGCUGAGACUGAGGUGCCUACAAUGUGCUUUCGAGUGUGCGGGUUUCUCGUGUGGCUGUUUGCUUUGAUAGCUUGCUAUGUUGGUGAAUAAGUUGUGCGAUUGAGACCUGUAUUAACUUGUUGCUGUUCGGGACUUUG